Solanum lycopersicum (tomato) is the source of this 1809-nucleotide non-coding RNA. The record is from Rfam. NCBI's taxonomy places the organism in Eukaryota, Viridiplantae, Streptophyta, Magnoliopsida, Solanales, Solanaceae.
UACCUGGUUGAUCCUGCCAGUAGUCAUAUGCUUGUAUCAAAUAUUAAGCCAUGCAUGUGUAAGUAUGAACAAAUUCAGACUGUGAAACUGCGAAUGGCUCAUUAAAUCAGUUAUACUUUGUUUGAUGGUAUCUACUACUCGGAUAACCGUACUAAUUCUAGAGCUAAUAGGUGCAACAAACCUCAACUUCUGGAAGGGAUGCAUUUAUUAGAUAAAAGGUCGAUGCAGGCUCUGCCAGUUGCUGCGAUGAUUCAUGAUAACUUGACGGAUCGCACGGCCAUCGUGCCGGCGAUGCAUCAUUCAAAUUUAUGCCCUAUGAACUUUUGAUGGUAGGAAAGUGGCCUACCAUGGUGGUGACAGUUGACGGAGAAUUAGGGUUCGAUUCCGAAGAGGGAGCCUGCGAAACGGCUACCACAUCCAAGGAAAGCAGCAGGCGCGCAAAUUACCCAAUCCUGACACAGGGAGGUAGUUACAAUAAAUAACAAUACUGGGCUCCAUGAGUCUGGUAAUUGGAAUGAGUACAAUCUAAAUCCCUUAACGAGGAUCCAUUGGAGGGAAAGUCUGGUGCCAGCAGUCGCGGUAAUUCCAGCUCCAAUACUGUAUAUUUAAGUUGUUGCAAUUAAAAAGCUCGUAGUUGGACUUUGGGAUGGGCCGGCCAGUCCGCCCUAGAUGUGCACCUGUCGUCUCGUCCCUUCUGUGGGGCGAUGCGCUCAUGGCGUUUAAUGGUCGGGUCAUGCCUACGACGCUGUUACUUUGAAGAAUUAGAGUGCUCAAAGAAAGCCUACGCUCUGCAUACAUUAGCAUGGGAUAACAUUAUAGGAUUUCGGUCAUAUUACAUUGGCCUUCAGGAUCAGAGUAAUGAUUAACAGGGACAGUCGGGGGCAUUCGUAUUUCAUAGUCAGAGGUGAAAUUCUUGGAUUUAUGAAAGAUGAACAACUGCGAAAGCAUUUGCCAAGAAUAUUUUCAUUAACCAAGAAAAAAAUUUGGGGGCUCGAAGAUGAUUAGAUACCGUCCUAGUCUCAACCAUAAACGAUGCCGACCAAGGAUCGACGGAUGUUGCUUUUAGGACUCUGCCGCCACCUUAUGAGAAAUCAAAGUUUUUGGGUUCUGGGGGGAGAGUAUGGUUGCAAGGCUGAAACUUAAAGGAAUUGACGGAAUGGCACCACCAGGAGUGGAGCAUGCGGCUUUAUUUGACUCAACACAGGGAAACUUACAAGGUCCAAACAUAGUAAGGAUUGACAGACUGAGAGCUCUUUCUUGAUUCUACUAGUGGUGGUGCAUGGUCGUUCUUAGUUGGUGAAGCGAUUUGUCUGGUUAAUUCCAUUAACGAAUGAGACCUCAUCCUGCUAAUUAGCUAUGCGGAGGUAUCCCUUCGCGGCCAGCUUCUUAGAGGGACUACGGACUUUUAGGCCGCAAAUGUUUGAGGCAAUAACAGGUCUGUGAUGCCCUUAGAUGUUAUGGGUCGCACGCGCGCUACACUGAUUAUUCAACGAGCUUAUAUCCUUGGCCAACAGGCCCGGGUAAUCUUUGAAAUUUUAUCGUGAUAGGGAUAUAUCAUUGCAUAUAUUAGUUUUCAACGAGGAAUUCCUAGUAAGCGCGAGUCAUCAGCUCGCAUUGACUACGUUCCUGCCCUUUGUACACACCACCCGUCGCUCCUACCGAUUGAAUGAUUUAGUGAAAUGUUCGGAUCGCGGCGACAUGGGCGGUUCGCUGCCCGCGAAGUCGUGAGAAGUCCAUUGAACCUUAUCAUUUAGAGGAAGGAGAAGUCGUAACAAGGUUUCCAUAGGUUAACCUGCGGAAGGAUCAUUC